GAGGGUAUAGCUCAGUGGUAGAGUGCUUGCUUAGCAUGCUGGAGGUCCUGGGUUCAAUCCCCAGUACCUCCA
RNAcentral lists this transfer RNA (72 nucleotides) under Camelus bactrianus (Bactrian camel). It matches the Rfam family "tRNA". From Rfam's summary of the family: Transfer RNA (tRNA) molecules are approximately 80 nucleotides in length. Their secondary structure includes four short double-helical elements and three loops (D, anti-codon, and T loops). RNAcentral also lists the same sequence under 2 other names. The record is from Rfam by way of RNAcentral. Lineage: Eukaryota; Metazoa; Chordata; Mammalia; Artiodactyla; Camelidae.